This 6378-nucleotide long non-coding RNA is filed under the name Sus scrofa (pig). RNAcentral's name for it is "lncRNA (ENSSSCG00025014474.1)". Lineage: Eukaryota; Metazoa; Chordata; Mammalia; Artiodactyla; Suidae. The record is from RNAcentral.
CUUCAUUUCAUCCUCACACUGAGAGAGAAGCAAAGGGAGGUAUGCUCACAUCUGUUUUGUAGGAGAGAAACACACGUGUCAAGGGUUCAUAGAGGUGGAGGUAGCGACCCAGCAGAAGACUAAGGAUGAUCUUGGGUUGCUCUGGGCAAGUCACUGAACCUCUCAGUGCUGCAGCAUCACCUGGAAAAUGCAAAGAAGCAACACCUGCCUCUCGGGGCUGUUCUGAGUUAAGGGUAUGCACAGCGCUCAGCACCAAGACAGCGCUGCAGAAGCACCUGCUCUUCGUGAGGAGGCUGUAACGUGUGUGUGCGUGGAGGGGGAAGAAGAGGGCACAACUGGAUGUUUCUACAUGUGGUUGUAGAAAGUCUUUGAGGCUUCCCGAGAGGCCCCGAGGACCAAGGAGGAGGACAAGUGGAACCAGGAGAAGCAAGCUGAAUACAAAACGAGGAUCUUCUGAAUUCAAUCACCCAACUGAUCCCAGUCGAUAAUAAAGCACCUGCCCUCGCAGGGCGGAGUACUUCCUGAAUAAUACAUGCACGAGGUCACCACUGCUGAUGGCAGCGUAAUCCAAUAAGGGGUCUCAGAAGAGGACACAUCAGUGUGCGCUGAGGUUCCGGGGCCUUGAGCAGGCAGGAUUUCCAGGUCAAGGUUCUCCUCAGACCUCUGUCCAAAAACAUGCCUGUAUCCUUCCAAGGAUAAACGUGCACUGAUAAGGUUUAAAAAUUUUUUUUUCUUUUGUCUUUUUGCCUUUUCUAGGGCCGCUCCCACGGCAUAUGUUGAUUCCCAGGCUAGGGGUCUAAUCGGAGCUGUAGCCGCUGGCCUACGCCACAGCCACAGCCACAGCAGAUCUGAGCCGCCUCUGCAACCUACACCAUAGCUCACGGCAACGCCGGAUCCUUAACCCACUGAGCAAGGCCAGGGAUCCAACCCGCUACCUCAUGGUUCCUAGUGGGAUUCAUUAACAUUGCGCCACAAUGGGAGCUCCUUAUUUUCAUUUUUUGCUUUUUAGGGCCAUACCUGAGGCACAUGGAGGUUCCUAGGCCAGGGGUUGAAUCGGAACUCUAGUCACCAGCCUACAUCGCACCAGCCACAGCAAUGCAGGACCUGAGCCAUGUCUGUGACCCACACCACAGCUCACAGCCACGCCAGAUCCUUAACCCACUGAGCAGGGCCAGGGAUCAAACCUGUGUCCUCAUGGAUGCUAGUCAGAAUCGUUUCCGCCAAGCCACGGGGGGGAAUUCUAAGAGUUACUUACUUCAUGGGUUUUCUUAAAUACUCAAAUCCCUCAUGUUACAGAUAUAAAAGACACGUUCAAACCCUCUCAGUUACCCUCACUCAGGUUUAAUAACCUGAAAGAUUUUUUUACAGGAAAGGUGUAAGUUGAUAUGAAAACAGAAAUACGGCUGGAAUGGCUGACCUAUUGACUUGCGUACAUAGUACGGUAAUUGUGGAGGUGAAAAAUCCAGGUUUACCUACACGAUGAAUAUACAUAUGCGUCUUUGCUUUACAAAACUAUUUACCAUAGGAUUCCAAUGAGAAGCCUGUUUUCCCCACGUGUGUGGAAGGGGAUUUAACCUACAAAAAUCCUCCUCCCUCUAACAGUUUUGGGUUUAUACCAAUUGAAUCAUGUGGAAAAUGUCCUUUUUUUGCUCUGGCCUGACUUAUUUCUGAGAAAUCAAGGUGGUGAUAAAAGGAUUAUGAAGGAGGAUGAUUCCUGACAAUGAUUAGAUUCCCAUCUCCCAGAUUAAUAGAGAGGUCGGAAUUGAAUUAGAAACCCCGGAAGAGAAGAGGCCGCAAGGAAAUCUGGUGCCUGCUUGGCUGUAAUGAGUUAUCCACGUGGACCUUACGCAGCAUGGCCAUCAUGAUACAUUUAUACUUAUCAGCAUUUUCAGUCUUUUAAAAUGCUAUCACCCAUUCUCCUCCGGCUUCUCCCACCCAAGGCACAGCCAUUUUCACAGAUGGAUGAAUAAGCCACAGUCUUCUGGUUUUUAACAAACACCGCACAGUCUGCCCCCCAAAUUAAGUCAGACUUGUUGCCACACAGCUGCAGCGACGGGCUGCCAGCGUCUCUGGAGGACAGCGGGACUUCCGACUUGGCAGGACGGGCUGCUGGGUUUGCACAGAGCCUGUCCAGCCCUGAAAUGCCACCACACCCCUGGUACGGCAGUCCCGGCACCCAACAAGAAAACAACACGGCCCUACAGCCUCAUCUGAACAGCGUGAUGGCCGUUGUUCUGGCAACCGCUCUCUUCCCGAGAAGUAAAUCAGGUCCAGAAACGCAGCAGGCCUGGUGCCUGGCACACAGUCGUCUCUCAAUAAAUGGUGGCAAUAGUUACAGCCCAGCGUUGCAUCUGGGACUUUCCUCUAAGUGAUACGUAUAAGGGCCUUCUAGCAAGUUUUCUGGUUUGGGCAGCUGUUAUUCCCUGAGCAACUCGAGGGGCUGAUGCCCCCAUGAUCUCUGAUCUGGGGGCUCACCCACAGGUGAGGAAUCAGACUCAGAAAGAAAGGGACCUCAGAAUUCCUGCUGUGGCUCAGCAGAAAUGAACCCAACUUGUGAUCCACAAGGCUUCGGGUUUGAUCCCUGACUCUGCUCAGUGGGUUAAGGACCCAGCAUUGAGUGAGCUGUGGCAUAGGUUGCAGAUGUGGCUUGGAUCUGGUGUUGCUGUGGCUGUAGCGUAGGCAGGCAGCUGGAGCUCCAGUUCAACCCCUAGCCUGGGAACUUCCAUGCGCUGCACCUCAAAUAAUAAUAAUAAAUUAAAAAAAUAAAAACUAAAAAGAAACUUUUUUUAAAAUGAAAGAAAGAAAGGAACCUGUUGUGUCAGAAGUAAGAUUUAGACCUGGGUCAGCCCAACUUUAUCCUCUCUCUUUUCAGAGCCUGGGAGGGGCUCAGAUCUGGUAGAAAUAAAGACAAAGGAGGGGCUGGAGACAUUUCUGCAACAAAGCGAAUGCGGAUGCCUAGUGAGACUGUGGGCAUCUUCCAGUUACACCCUCAACAACUAUAGCAUCUACGGGACCCGCCCCCACCACCUCCCCAUUGGACUUUUGUCCCCCACCAGCCUUGAUAGAUUACAAGUUCCCACAACAGGGACUGUUUCUUCCUCUCGGCUUUGUUUGGAGCAUUGUUCUAGCAAGGCUCAAAUAAGGGGCCAUUAUUAAUAGUGAUAAUAAUGCAACGCUCUUUUCUCAAGGGCCUGACAGACCAACAGCAUGCUGCUUCCUGCCGCCUCUCGCUGGCGGUUUUCACCUACGAACCCUCAGCUGCCCGGGCAACAGCACCCAGCAUGCCCUCUACAUCAUGCUGCCUGAAUGCCAUCUCAUCAGAUUCUCCAGGGCCCCGAACACUGGGCGGAGGCCCGGCAGAGGACGGACGAGACAGCCACGGGAGACACAGCAGGCCAAGGAGAUAAUGGGCCCCAGGUUUGUUUUGAACUGAGCUCACUUUGCAGCCCAAGGCCUAGAGCCACACAGCUCUGGAACGGGGUCAGCUUCAGGAAUGCUCCGGGGAGCUCUGGUUUUCAUUAGACACUUUGGGCCCGUGGAAGCUGGGACCAGUUAAGGGUUCAUCUCUUGAGAAAGGCUGCUAGUCGUGAUGGAGUGACUCAGAGGGAGCCCCUGUGUGUUGGGGCUCAAGCAUGGGGCCCCAUGUGCAUGUGUUUCCAUGAGAGCUGGGCUCAUCCUUGGGGUUCGGGCUAGACAUUCAUUCAAGGCUCAGUGGAGGAAAUAAGAAGCUUUAAUGGCCACGAAAGCAAAGGGCAGGGUGGGGCCGGGUUUAAACAAAAGCUCUUUUGCAGGUUCUCAGAUUUUAAUUAGCAUGCCCCUGGGGACAGAGAACUCACUUGUACCCCCGGGGUUACAGACAUAAGGCCUGCUCAGGUGUUACUGCUACUGUCCCCUGGGAAGGGCCCAGGUAAGCAAAGUUAAUCUGGGUCAGAAGCGCUUGGCUCUUCCCUGAGGGUCUCAUCUGUGCGGCUGGCCUGUUCUCGGAGAGGCUGGAAAGGCAGGAGGACAUACGCGCCUUCGGGGACUCACAUUCCGCUCAUUCCCCAGGAGGUCACGAGCUCCCGCUGUGGACAGAGUUCAACUCCAGAGCCAGUGUGGAAACAAAGAUGCAUGAGCCUACAUCUGGAACCCUCUUUGAGUCCAAAGAGCAAGAUCACGCAUCUGCCGCGCACAACACACAUGGCCGCCACCCUGCUACACCCCAGCCUCCUGCUGACGUCUGUGCGGGAGGCUGUGAUCUGGGGGCAGGACUGUGAAACCACCUUGGUAAGGCUGGUGUGGGGGUGUUGUGGGCCCGGGCAGCUCUCCUUUCCAUACUGCCGUCUUUAUGGGGUCUGCUGGUUGAUGGGCUUUGCUCUCUAAGAUCAGCCGUCUAUUAGAGAAAGCCUCCCAGCGUCUUCUCUGAGGGAAGGUCCUGAUCAGGCUUCUCCAGCAGGACCAGAAGGGAGGGAGUCCCAGCUCCAUCAGGCCACCAGAUCUUUGAGCAGCAGCUUGGAGGGAGCAUAGGGCCCAAGGUGGGGGGGCCUAAUCUAGGCUGGGAUUCUAAUCUAGACUCCCCCUCCUCAGCUCUCUCAGUCCUGACCUCUUCCUCUGCUGCCCGUGUGAUCAAGAGCACAUGGUGACACUGGGACAUGGCUCCUUCUCUGGGACUGUGGACAGGGAAGAGGCACAACCACUUCUACAAUAGGCAAGGGAAGCAAGAAUGGACUGAGGCCCUUGGAAAUCGAUUAAUGGCCCAAAUCCAUGGGAAUUUGCCCACUACUCCAAGAGCUUUCAAACUGGCUCAGGAAAUCUGAUUUUGUUUGACUUUUUUGCCACCAACAUUUACCUGAAUUGGUUGGUGGCUCUGUUUCUUUCUUUCAGUUUUACUCCUUAAAGCUGAACAAAGAAACCCAAAUAGAGAUUCAAAGCCAAGAGUUGCUGCAAUGCUCUCCCAAAAUAGGAGCAGUGAGGGCUGUCAUGGACUGGCCAUUCUUCAGUCCCUGCGGACACUGAACUAUUCCAAGUAUGUCCCAGGGUACCAUCCUGGGUGGGGUGAUGCUUAGGCAGGACUGGUACUGUAGGGUACUGACUGGAAGGCCCUGGACCAGACCCUUCCCAUCUGGCCCAUCCUCAGAAUAAGGGUCUUGGCUUCACUUGCCUUUGAAUCCUCUUCUAGCCUGCAGAUAUCACAACCCCUCCACCCUUCCAUGUCCUUGGUCACCAAAGGGGGGUUUUAAUGCAGCACGACGGGCCAGGCAAGAGGCAAUGAGCAUCACAGACCCAGUUCCUCCCUGAUGGAACCUCCCCCCCAAGUCCUCGUCCUUCCUGAUGAUUCAUGAGCUUCAUUUAUUUUUUAUUUUAUUAUUUAUUUAGUCAUUUUGCCUUUUCUGGGGCCGCUCCCGCGGCAUAUGGAGGUUGCCAGGCUAGGGGUCAAAUCGGAGCUGUAGCUGCUGACUUACACCAGAGCCACAGCAACACAGGAUCAGACCCACGUCUGCGACCUACAACACAGCUCAUGGCAACGCCGGAUCCUUAACCCACUGAGCAAGGCCAGGAAUCGAACCCGAAACCUCAUGGUUUCUAGUCGGAUUCGUUAACCACUGAGCCAUGACAGCAACUCUGGGCUUCAUUUAAGAAUAAGGGAAAGGGCUGCCUGAUCCGUUCCCCCCAAAACAGACGCAGGGGUGAAAGAGAACAGAAACAAAGGCAGCGAGUUUCUGAGGCAAGCCUUUCAUACUCGCCUGCCAUCCUCCACUCCAGCUGAGUGAGAAGACAGAGGGAGAGGCUGGACCUGCAGUUCUGUGGCAUCCACAAAGCAGCAGGUGUGUCCCUCUGAUGGCUCAGGGUCGCCAUGGCCAUACAAGAGAUGAUGCCCUUAAAACCCAGACAUAGCCCCCAGGGGUCCCUUAUUCCAGCAACUCUAAGCAGACUUAUCACCAGAAGAAAAACGCCCUUUUAUUUUAUUUUGCAUUUUAGGGCCACACCCUCAGCAUAUGGAGGUUCCUAGGCGAGGGGUCAAACUGGAGCUGUAGCUGUGGGCCUACACCACAGUCACAGUAACACCAGAUUUGAGCUGCGUCUGUGAUCUACACCACAGCUUAUGGCAAUGCUGGAUCCUUAACCUGCUGAGCAGGGCCAGGGAUUGAACCUGCAUCCUCACGCAUACUAGUCAGAUUCAUUUCCACUGAGCCAUGGCAGGAACUCCUUAUUUUAUUUUUUUGCUUUUUAGGGCCACACCCACAGCAUAUGGAGGUUCCCAGGCUAGGAGUCCAAUUGGAAGUAUAGCUGCUGGCCUGCGCCAGAGCCACAGCAAUGCAGGAUCCGAGCUAUGUCUGCGACCUACAGCACAGCUCACAGCAAUGCCAGAUCCUUAACCCACUGAAGGAGGCCAGGGAU